This 501-nucleotide long non-coding RNA is filed under the name Equus caballus (horse). RNAcentral describes it as "lncRNA (ENSECAG00000047623.1)". Lineage: Eukaryota; Metazoa; Chordata; Mammalia; Perissodactyla; Equidae. The record is from RNAcentral.
CUGUGGUCAAGAUGGCGCUGUGAGCAGACGUUGAACUCGCCUCCUCCCACGAGCACAACCAGGUUACAACAAUUUUGGGAAGAAUCACCCUGGAUUGAAAACGGAAAACUGGAUAAAAAGAACCCCCACGACAAGGGACAGUCCUGACGAAAGCAGAAGAAGGAGUGACUCGGGCCGGAGAGGAAAAAAGCCACCUUUGGGAGCAGCGGAGCCUCUCAGCUGGCCAGGCGGGAGCCAACCUAAGGAACUGCUGCAGAAGUUCAAAAUGAUACACAAAAUGUGCAAAGUUCUUGCAUUCUAAGCUCAGAGAUUCAUCAGCAAUUGGGAUCAGACACUUACCCUCAAGGCCUAAGGAAAGUGACUGGCGUGGUGGCAGGGAAGGUGAAGAGGAGAAAUUGAUAUAUAGCCCACCAUAUCCACAAGGAUACCUAUCUGAGGAUUCUAUCUCCACAGGAACAUCACAGAGAUGCUAAAUCACUUGCGUAUUAGCACUGCAGCCCC